RNAcentral lists this ribosomal RNA (374 nucleotides) under uncultured Acetivibrio sp. Its description in RNAcentral is "bacterial SSU rRNA". It matches the Rfam family "Bacterial small subunit ribosomal RNA", at positions 355 to 741 of the family's 1533-position model. The record is from RNAcentral. Lineage: Bacteria; Bacillati; Bacillota; Clostridia; Acetivibrionales; Acetivibrionaceae.
UCGGGAAUAUUGCGGCAAUGGAGGAAACUCUGACGCAGUGACGCCGCGUAUAGGAAGAAGGUUUUCGGAUUGUAAACUAUUGUCGUUAGGGAAGAUACAAGACAGUACCUAAGGAGGAAGCUCCGGCUAACUACGUGCCAGCAGCCGCGGUAAUACGUAGGGAGCAAGCGUUAUCCGGAUUUAUUGGGUGUAAAGGGUGCGUAGACGGGAUAACAAGUUAGUUGUGAAAGCCCUCGGCUUAAACUGAGGAACUGCAACUAAAACUAUUAUUCUUGAGUGUUGGAGAGGAAAGUGGAAUUCCUAGUGUAGCGGUGAAAUGCGUAGAUAUUAGGAGGAACACCGGUGGCGAAGGCGACUUUCUGGUACGAAUAACU